GAGGGGGUAGCUCAGUGGUAGAGCACGUGCUUCACACGCACGAGGUCCUGGGUGCAACCCCUAGUCCCUCCA
RNAcentral lists this transfer RNA (72 nucleotides) under Camelus ferus (Wild Bactrian camel). It matches the Rfam family "tRNA". Rfam says of the family: Transfer RNA (tRNA) molecules are approximately 80 nucleotides in length. Their secondary structure includes four short double-helical elements and three loops (D, anti-codon, and T loops). The record is from Rfam by way of RNAcentral. Lineage: Eukaryota; Metazoa; Chordata; Mammalia; Artiodactyla; Camelidae.